This 428-nucleotide ribosomal RNA is filed under the name uncultured archaeon. RNAcentral describes it as "bacterial SSU rRNA". It matches the Rfam family "Archaeal small subunit ribosomal RNA", at positions 474 to 903 of the family's 1478-position model. The record is from RNAcentral.
UACCUGCAGCUCAAGUGGUGACCGCUAUUAUUGGGCCUAAAACGUUCGUAGCCGGUCUGAUAAAUGCUUAGGUAAAUCGUGUAGCUUAACUAUACGAACUCUGGGUAGACUGUCAGACUUGAGACCGGGAGAAGCUAGAGGUACUCCUGGGGUAGAGGUGAAAUUCUGUAAUCCUAGGGGGACCACCAGUGGCGAAGGCGUCUAGCUAGAACGGGUCUGACGGUGAGGGACGAAGCCCUGGGGCGCAAACCGGAUUAGAUACCCGGGUAGUCCAGGGUGUAAACGCUGCUUGCUUGAUGUUAGUCGGGCUUCGAGCCCGAUUAGUGUCGGAGCGAAGGUGUUAAGCAAGCUGCCUGGGAAGUAUGGUCGCAAGACUGAAACUUAAAGGAAUUGGCGGGGAGCACAGCAACGGGUGGAGCGUGCGGUUU